GAGGGUGUAGCUCAGUGGUAGAGUGCUUGCCUAGCAUGCACGAGGUCCUGGUUCAAUCCCCAGUACCUCCU
Molecule: transfer RNA, 71 nt
Filed under: Camelus bactrianus (Bactrian camel)
Lineage: Eukaryota; Metazoa; Chordata; Mammalia; Artiodactyla; Camelidae
Also listed under: 2 other names
Rfam family: tRNA
About the family: Transfer RNA (tRNA) molecules are approximately 80 nucleotides in length.
Source: Rfam by way of RNAcentral